Molecule: ribosomal RNA, 114 nt
Filed under: Salvia splendens (bonfire salvia)
Lineage: Eukaryota; Viridiplantae; Streptophyta; Magnoliopsida; Lamiales; Lamiaceae
Source: RNAcentral
GCGAUCAUACCAGCACUAAAGCACCGGAUCCCAUCAGAACUCCGAAGUUAAGCAUGCUUGGGCGAGAGUAGUACUAGGAUGGGUGACCCCUGGGAAUUUCUCGUGUUGCACCCC